Molecule: unclassified non-coding RNA, 211 nt
Filed under: plant metagenome
Description: partial contains small subunit ribosomal RNA, internal transcribed spacer 1, and 5.8S ribosomal RNA
Source: RNAcentral
UUUCCGUAGGUGAACCUGCGGAAGGAUCAUUCAUAAUAAAGUGUUUUAUGGCACUUUUUAAAAAUCCAUAUCCACCUUGUGUGCAAUGUUAGAUCUCGUCAAUCUUGGCGAGGUUUUUACACAUCAACUCAUUCUUUAACUAAUUUGUCUGAAAAAUAUUAUGAAUACUUAAUUCAAAAUACAACUUUCAACAACGGAUCUCUUGGCUCUC